AGAUGAACGCUGCGGCAGGCCUAACACAUGCAAGUCGAACGGUAACAGGAAGCAGCUUGCUGUUCGCUGACGAGUGGCGGACGGGUGAGUAAUGUCUGGGAAACUGCCUGAUGAGGGGGGAUAACUACUGGAAACGGUAGCUAAUACCGCAUAACGUCGCAAAGACCAAAGAGGGGGACCUUCGGGCCUCUUGCCAUCGGAUGUGCCCAGAUGGGAUUAGCUAGUAGGUGGGGUAACGGCUCACCUAGGCGACGAUCCCUAGCUGGUCUGAGAGGAUGACCAGCCACACUGGAACUGAGACACGGUCCAGACUCCUACGGGAGGCAGCAGUGGGGAAUAUUGCACAAUGGGCGCAAGCCUGAUGCAGCCAUGCCGCGGUUAGUAUGAAGAAGGCCUUCGGGUUGUAAAGUACUUUCAGCGGGGAGGAAGGGAGUAAAGUUAAUACCUUUGCUCAUUGACGUUACCCGCAGAAGAAGCACCGGCUAACUCCGUGCCAGCAGCUGC
Molecule: ribosomal RNA, 504 nt
Filed under: uncultured bacterium
Lineage: Bacteria
Description: bacterial SSU rRNA
Rfam family: Bacterial small subunit ribosomal RNA
Source: RNAcentral